AACCUGCGGAGGGAUCAUUACCGAGUUUUACAACUCCCAAACCCCUGUGAACAUACCUUAUGUUGCCUCGGCGGAUCAGCCCGCGCCCCGUAAAAAGGGACGGCCCGCCGCAGGAACCCUAAACUCUGUUUUUAGUGGAACUUCUGAGUAUAAAAAACAAAUAAAUCAAAACUUUCAACAACGGAUCUCUUGGUUCUGGCAUCGAUGAAGAACGCAGCAAAAUGCGAUAAGUAAUGUGAAUUGCAGAAUUCAGUGAAUCAUCGAAUCUUUGAACGCACAUUGCGCCCGCCAGUAUUCUGGCGGGCAUGCCUGUUCGAGCGUCAUUUCAACCCUCAAGCCCAGCUUGGUGUUGGGAGCUGCAGUCCUGCUGCACUCCCCAAAUACAUUGGCGGUCACGUCGAGCUUCCAUAGCGUAGUAAUUUACACAUCGUUACUGGUAAUCGUCGCGGCCACGCCGUUAAACCCCAACUUCUGAAUGUUGACCUCGGAUCAGGUAGGAAUACCCGCUGAACUUAAGCAUAUCAAUAAGCGGAGGA
RNAcentral lists this ribosomal RNA (536 nucleotides) under Fusarium culmorum. RNAcentral describes it as "eukaryotic LSU rRNA". The stretch from base 170 to 323 matches the Rfam family "5.8S ribosomal RNA". The record is from RNAcentral. Lineage: Eukaryota; Fungi; Ascomycota; Sordariomycetes; Hypocreales; Nectriaceae.